UACAGAGGUCUCAAGCGUUGUUCGGAUUCAUUGGGCGUAAAGGGUGCGUAGGUGGCGCCGUAAGUCGGGUGUGAAAUUUCGGAGCUUAACUCCGAAACUGCAUUCGAUACUGCGGUGCUUGAGGACUGGAGAGGAGACUGGAAUUCAUGGUGUAGCAGUGAAAUGCGUAGAGAUCGUAAGGAAGACCAGUGGCGAAGGCGGGUCUCUGGACAGUUCCUGACGCUGAGGCACGAAGGCCAGGGGAGCAAACGGG
This 253-nucleotide ribosomal RNA is filed under the name uncultured bacterium. Its description in RNAcentral is "partial 16S ribosomal RNA". It matches the Rfam family "Bacterial small subunit ribosomal RNA", at positions 524 to 776 of the family's 1533-position model. The record is from RNAcentral.